Actinophytocola xinjiangensis is the source of this 54-nucleotide regulatory RNA element. It matches the Rfam family "L31-Actinobacteria ribosomal protein leader". Lineage: Bacteria; Bacillati; Actinomycetota; Actinomycetes; Pseudonocardiales; Pseudonocardiaceae. The record is from Rfam.
CCGGCACCGGUUCACCUCGACGUCUCGUCACGUCUCGUCGGGGACCCGGCGGCC